Molecule: ribosomal RNA, 1296 nt
Filed under: metagenome
Description: bacterial SSU rRNA
Rfam family: Bacterial small subunit ribosomal RNA
Source: RNAcentral
AGAGUUUGAUCAUGGCUCAGAUUGAACGCUGGCGGCAGGCCUAACACAUGCAAGUCGAACGGUAACAGGAAGCAGCUUGCUGCUUCGCUGACGAGUGGCGGACGGGUGAGUAAUGUCUGGGAAGCUGCCUGAUGGAGGGGGAUAACUACUGGAAACGGUAGCUAAUACCGCAUAAUGUCGCAAGACCAAAGAGGGGGACCUUCGGGCCUCUUGCCAUCGGAUGUGCCCAGAUGGGAUUAGCUUGUUGGUGGGGUAACGGCUCACCAAGGCGACGAUCCCUAGCUGGUCUGAGAGGAUGACCAGCCACACUGGAACUGAGACACGGUCCAGACUCCUACGGGAGGCAGCAGUGGGGAAUAUUGCACAAUGGGCGCAAGCCUGAUGCAGCCAUGCCGCGUGUAUGAAGAAGGCCUUCGGGUUGUAAAGUACUUUCAGCGGGGAGGAAGGGAGUAAAGUUAAUACCUUUGCUCAUUGACGUUACCCGCAGAAGAAGCACCGGCUAACUCCGUGCCAGCAGCCGCGGUAAUACGGAGGGUGCAAGCGUUAAUCGGAAUUACUGGGCGUAAAGCGCACGCAGGCGGUUUGUUAAGUCAGAUGUGAAAUCCCCGGGCUCAACCUGGGAACUGCAUCUGAUACUGGCAAGCUUGAGUCUCGUAGAGGGGGGUAGAAUUCCAGGUGUAGCGGUGAAAUGCGUAGAGAUCUGGAGGAAUACCGGUGGCGAAGGCGGCCCCCUGGACGAAGACUGACGCUCAGGUGCGAAAGCGUGGGGAGCAAACAGGAUUAGAUACCCUGGUAGUCCACGCCGUAAACGAUGUCGACUUGGAGGUUGUGCCCUUGAGGCGUGGCUUCCGGAGCUAACGCGUUAAGUCGACCGCCUGGGGAGUACGGCCGCAAGGUUAAAACUCAAAUGAAUUGACGGGGGCCCGCACAAGCGGUGGAGCAUGUGGUUUAAUUCGAUGCAACGCGAAGAACCUUACCUGGUCUUGACAUCCACGGAAGUUUUCAGAGAUGAGAAUGUGCCUUCGGGAACCGUGAGACAGGUGCUGCAUGGCUGUCGUCAGCUCGUGUUGUGAAAUGUUGGGUUAAGUCCCGCAACGAGCGCAACCCUUAUCCUUUGUUGCCAGCGGUCCGGCCGGGAACUCAAAGGAGACUGCCAGUGAUAAACUGGAGGAAGGUGGGGAUGACGUCAAGUCGUCAUGGCCCUUACGACCAGGGCUACACACGUGCUACAAUGGCGCAUACAAAGAGAAGCGACCUCGCGAGAGCAAGCGGACCUCAUAAAGUGCGUCGUAGUCC